RNAcentral lists this ribosomal RNA (137 nucleotides) under Lachnospiraceae bacterium. RNAcentral describes it as "partial 23S ribosomal RNA". It matches the Rfam family "Bacterial large subunit ribosomal RNA", at positions 2787 to 2925 of the family's 2925-position model. The record is from RNAcentral. Lineage: Bacteria; Bacillati; Bacillota; Clostridia; Lachnospirales; Lachnospiraceae.
GUGAAGCCCCCCUCAAGAUAAGAUAUCCCAUUCGUAAGAAGUAAGACCCCUUGCAGACGACGAGGUUGAUAGGCUUCGGGUGGAAGUGUGGCAACACAUGGAGCUGAGAAGUACUAAUAGGUCGAGGGCUUGACCAG